AAAUAUUUUAGGCUGUCAAGAUUUUAAGAGUCGGUCUAGAGGCCAAGCAUCGAGGAACAUGAGCUAUGGUAGUGUUUAUUGGAGACAGAGUCAAAGAAUAUCUAGUCAAUUUACUAGAUCAACAGUAAGAUCGUAGACAGGUCAGGAGUUCGUUGCUAGUAUAGUCAGGCAAACCCCAUGCACAAGUUGUAGGAAUUAUCGAGGUCAGUGUCUUGUAGGUGUCAGUGUGUGUUACCAGUGUAGACAGCCAAGACAUUUUAAGAAAAAUUACCUGCAGUUGACACAACAGUUCUGAGGGAUCAGGGAGUUGGGUCUCAGACAAUUGAGUAAUCAAGAGUUUCGGUGGUUUCGAUAGAGGGUACCAGCGAUGCAAGGCAAAAGGGAGUUGUUGGAAGACCUAGGCAAUAUGGAAAGGUCUAUGCGUAUAUUCAACAAGAAGCGGAUGAUGCACUAGACGUUAUUAUUGGAAGGAAGUUGUUUUCAAAAAAUCAGGCUUUGUUGAAGUGGUUUUUAGAGGUAUGUUGAAUAUCAUUCCUAGGAGUUUAAUCUCAGUUUUGAAAGCUGAGAAAUUGCUGAGGAAAGAUUGCACAACGUUUCUUGCACACUUGGUAGGAGUACAAAGAGAAAAGGUGAAGCCAGAAGAUAUUAUUGUGGAACAACACCUAUUUCACAGGCACCGUACAGAAUGGCUUCGAGCGAGCUUAAAGAGCUAAAGGUGCAGUUACAAGAAUUGGUUGACAAGGGAUACAUCAGGUUGAGUGUAUCGACUUGGGGAGCACCAUUGCUAUUUGUGAAAAAGAAAGAUGGUGCCUUCAGAUUGUGUAUUGACUAUAGGUAGUUAAACAAGGUUACGAUACGUAACAAGUAUCCUUUACUACAUAUCGAUGACUUAUUUAAUUAGCUAAGGGGAAUAACAUUGUCUCUAAGAUUGAUUUAAGGUUAAAAUACCACCAGUUGAAGGUUAGAGAAUCAUAUAUUUCUAAGAUAACAUUCAAAACAAGGUAUGGACACUAUGCGUUUCGAGUUAUGUCAUUUAGUUUAACGAAUGUAUCAGCGGUUUUCAUGGAUCUUA
Long non-coding RNA from Cucumis melo (muskmelon), 1072 nucleotides. RefSeq lists it as uncharacterized. Lineage: Eukaryota; Viridiplantae; Streptophyta; Magnoliopsida; Cucurbitales; Cucurbitaceae. The record is from RefSeq and is a predicted model, not a curated record. The transcript has 3 exons.